UGCUGUAGAAAAACAUUUACCAUUUGAAAACGCCAAAUUUUGUCUGAUUUUGGAAGCUAACCAGAGUUUUGGCCUGGUUAGCGCUUCGAUGGGAGGUCACUGGGAAUCGCAGGUGCUGUGGCGG
RNAcentral lists this ribosomal RNA (124 nucleotides) under Periophthalmus magnuspinnatus. Lineage: Eukaryota; Metazoa; Chordata; Actinopteri; Gobiiformes; Gobiidae. The record is from RNAcentral.